ACACCCGGUCCCAUCCCGAACCCGGAAGUUAAGCCUGACAGCGCCAAUGGUACUGCAACCGAGAGGCUGUGGGAGAGUAGGACGCCGCCGGAC
Molecule: ribosomal RNA, 93 nt
Filed under: Nocardioides szechwanensis
Lineage: Bacteria; Bacillati; Actinomycetota; Actinomycetes; Propionibacteriales; Nocardioidaceae
Source: RNAcentral